UGGCAGCUCUGCUGAAGGUGUAAGGAGGGUACUUUUCAUUUAGAUGAUCAAUGGAGCAUAGAGGGGUGAGAAAGUGAUUCUAUUAGCAUGUGAAACCAGCCAUUGUACAAUGCAACUUUAUUGCACAAGUUGACUGUAAGGUCCAUUGUGCCUUUAGCAAAGUUAACUAGAUGUCCCUUAUUAUCAUAGCUGAGUUCCUCUUUGGCUUGGCUACAUUCUGCAAGAUAGAUACAAAUACCCUUGAAACACAAUGGUAGAGGUUGUACAUAGGGGUGAGGAAGGUGAUGGAGAGAGAAAGAUU
This is a long non-coding RNA of Empidonax traillii (willow flycatcher), 301 nucleotides long. RefSeq lists it as uncharacterized. The record is from RefSeq and is a predicted model, not a curated record. Lineage: Eukaryota; Metazoa; Chordata; Aves; Passeriformes; Tyrannidae. The transcript has 3 exons.